CCAAUUACAAGUUCAUUCUAAAUUUUCUAUAUAUACAGUGUUCACUUUACCUGAUUGGAUCAUGAUGUAAUAGAUGGCGGUCCAUGCUAGCAACAUUAUGAUGAUGAUAUUUAUAGAGCGCCGUCAAAUUCCACAGCGCUUUACAACAAUAUACUUAAUGUAACAAUCUGUAAAUGCUCAACACCUGAUAUAAACAAGACCAUAGUUUGUGCCUAUUUUAAUACAUACAUACCAGGUUUUCAUGAUACCGGGCACACGCCUUAGACAUACACCAGUGACUUUCGAUUCUAUACUGGAGGAAGCCCAAAAUUAACACCCCGAUGCCACAGACAUUUAUAACAUUAUGUGGGGUACAGUUGACACAUUCUGACAACUAGUUAAAAGGCCAGUAAGACUUUAGCAUUUUUGAUGGAUCUCUGGACAAUUUAAUGUAGUUGUUCACAUGUCUAUAGCCUGUCCCUGCAGGCUUUUUGCUGUAAACACUACCUGUUCUGAGAAAAGGUGUAUCAGGUGUUGAGCAUUUACUCAGGUGGCUACUAGAAGUGCUUACUGGGUAAGUGAUGCACAGUUUGCCGCAUUCAUUGCAUCUGUAUGAGGAGAUGUUGAUUGGCAUGCCUCCAUGGCUGAGAUCCUCAGAAUUGACAAUCUCAGCCAAUCCAAUGGUUUUCCAUACGAAUAAGGUUUUGCAGCUUUUUAAAGGGACACUGUAGGCACCCAGACUACUUCAGCUCAUUGAAGUGGUUUGGGUGCAAACUCCCAUCACCCUUAACCCUGAGCAUGUAAUUAUUACAGUUUUAUAAACUUGCAGGGUUAAGUCCUCCUCUAGUGGCUGCUAUGCAUGAGGACUUCCAGCUUCACUGGAAUCCCCAUAGGAAAGAAUGGAAUAAUGCCUUCCUAUGGGGAAAUCCUAAUGCGAGCAUUUGGUCUCACCGGCCAGAGGCAGGAGGAGGUGGAGCUGAGCCAGCACUGGACCCAGGUAAGUGACAGAAGGGGUUAUUAACCUUGACUAGUUUGUUUUCCUGGCACUAUAGUUUCGCUUUAAGGGUGGCUUUAACACUACAGGGUCAGGAGUACAUAUUUGUAUUUCUGACCCUAUAGCACAGAUAGGAAACCUUCGGCACUCCAGAUGUUAUGGACUAUAU
Molecule: non-coding RNA, 1142 nt
Organism: Pelobates cultripes (western spadefoot toad)
Lineage: Eukaryota; Metazoa; Chordata; Amphibia; Anura; Pelobatidae
Source: the annotation of a GenBank genome assembly